This 1439-nucleotide ribosomal RNA is filed under the name uncultured Bordetella sp. RNAcentral's name for it is "partial 16S-23S ribosomal RNA intergenic spacer". It matches the Rfam family "Bacterial small subunit ribosomal RNA". Lineage: Bacteria; Pseudomonadati; Pseudomonadota; Betaproteobacteria; Burkholderiales; Alcaligenaceae. The record is from RNAcentral.
GCAUUCGAUACAUGUACUGAAAAUAAUAACAAAGGGUAAUCAGCAGAUUGAACGCUGGCGGAUCUUGCAUGCAAUCGAGCAGCGCUUUGGACUUCAGUCUGGUGGCGAGUGGCGAACAAGUAAUAAUAUAUCAGACGACGCUAAUAAAGAGAUAACUACGACAUAGCUAAUACCACAUACGCCAUCGGGGAAAGCAGGGGACCUUCGAACCUCGCACUAUGCGACGGCCGAUAUCGGAUUAGCUAGUUGGUGAGAUGCUGGCUCACCAGGCGACGAUCCGUAGCUGGUUUGAGAGGCAUGCAACCACACUGGGACUGAGACACGGCUUGAACUCCUACGGAGGGCAGCGUGGGGAAUUUUGGACAAUGGAAACCGAUCAACCAUCCGCGUGUGCGAUCAAGAAGGCCUUCGGGUUGUAAAGCACUUUUGGCAGGAAAAAAGAAGCUUGGCACGGGAUAAUACCCGUACAGCUGACGAUACCUGCGGAAUAAGCACCGGCUAACUACGUGCCAGCAGCCGCGGUAAUACGUAAGGGUGCAAGCGUUAAUCAGUAAGAGAUGCUGAGCAUAAAAGCAUUGCACAGGCUGGUCGGAAGAAGAUGUGAAAUCCAGAGCUUAACUUUGGAACUGCAUUUUUAACUGCCAGACUAAAUUAAUGUCGGAGGAGGUAGAUUCCGUGUAGCAGUGAAGUAAUGAAUAUGCGAACACCGAUGGCGAAGGCAGCCUCUGGGAUAACAACUGACGCUCAUGCAGCGGCGUGAAGGGAGCAAGCAGGUUAGAUACCUGGUGAUCCGCCUAAACGAUGUCAACUAGCUGUUGGGGCCUUCAGACAGCAGUGGCGCAACUAACAUGAAGUUGACCGCCUGGGAGUAAGUCGCAAGAUUAAAACUCAAGGAAUUGACGGGGACCGCACAACGUGGAUGAUGUGGAUUAAUUCGAUGCAACGCGAAAAUGCCUACUGCCACCGGCAUAUCACAAGUCCCGAAAAAGGUAGAGUAUAAAGAGAGCAAGAACACGGAAGUACUGCGUAAUGUCGUCGCUCGUAAUGUGAGAUGUUAAAUUAGAAUCCCCGCAACGAGCAACCCCUCGUGGCAUUACUACGAAAAGGCACUCUCGUAGGGCUGCCCGGCUCGACAAACCGGAGAAAGUGGGGAUGACAUCCAGAAUCCUCUUGGCCCUUAUGGUAAAGACUUCACGUCAUACCAAUAGUCGAGACAGAGAAGUCGCCGGCUUGCGAGGCAAUCGAAACGUCGUAGUCCAGAUCGCGAUCUGCUCGACUGCGUAAAUCGAUCGCCUAGUAAUCUUGGUCAGCAUGUCACGUGAAUACAUUCGAGUCUUAUGCCUGCCCGUCACCAUGGAAGUGAUUUUACCAUCGUUAGCCUAACCCGUAAAGAGCAGUACCACAUUGGGAUUCAUGAUAGGAUGAAAUGUGCUGAAUAA